GACGAACGCUGGCGGCGUGCUUAACACAUGCAAGUCGAACGGAAAGGCCUGCUUGCAGGGUGCUCGAGUGGCGAACGGGUGAGUAACACGUGGGUGAUCUGCCCCUUACUUUGGGAUAAGCCUGGGAAACUGGGUCUAAUACUGGAUAGGACCAUGCUGUAGGUGGUGUGGUGGAAAGAUUAGUUUCGGUAAGGGAUGAGCUCGCGGCCUAUCAGCUUGUUGGUGGGGUAAUGGCCUACCAAGGCGUCGACGGGUAGCCGGCCUGAGAGGGUGGACGGCCACAUUGGGACUGAGAUACGGCCCAGACUCCUACGGGAGGCAGCAGUGGGGAAUAUUGCACAAUGGGCGCAAGCCUGAUGCAGCGACGCCGCGUGGGGGAUGACGGCCUUCGGGUUGUAAACUCCUUUCAGCCAUGACGAAGCCCUUGUGGUGACGGUAGUGGUAGAAGAAGCACCGGCUAACUACGUG
This 468-nucleotide ribosomal RNA is filed under the name uncultured bacterium. Its description in RNAcentral is "partial 16S ribosomal RNA". It matches the Rfam family "Bacterial small subunit ribosomal RNA", at positions 28 to 507 of the family's 1533-position model. The record is from RNAcentral.